UACAGAGGGUGCGAGCGUUGUCCGGAAUCACUGGGCGUAAAGGGCGCGUAGGUGGCGGGAUAAGCGUGCGGUGAAAGCCCGGGGCUCAACCCCGGGUCUGCCGUGCGGACUGUCUUGCUCGAGCGUAGUAGAGGCAGGUGGAAUUCCGGGUGUAGCGGUGGAAUGCGUAGAGAUCCGGAAGAACACCGGUGGCGAAGGCGGCCUGCUGGGCUACUGCUGACACUGAGGCGCGACAGCGUGGGGAGCAAACAGG
RNAcentral lists this ribosomal RNA (253 nucleotides) under uncultured bacterium. RNAcentral's name for it is "partial 16S ribosomal RNA". It matches the Rfam family "Bacterial small subunit ribosomal RNA", at positions 524 to 776 of the family's 1533-position model. The record is from RNAcentral.